Molecule: small RNA, 4393 nt
Filed under: Pongo abelii (Sumatran orangutan)
Lineage: Eukaryota; Metazoa; Chordata; Mammalia; Primates; Hominidae
Source: RNAcentral
UAAUUUUGAAAAGAAAAUCUUAAACAAAGAAAGUAACUUGACACCCAACCAUCUUGAAGAGGGUAUUUGAAAUGCUCUAAUUUUAUCCCAGCUUUGUUCAGCCAUGACAAAAGUGACCUGUCAGAUGCUUAGUAUUGUAAUAACCUCAUUUUCCUUCCCAAAUUUAGAGUAUCUUUAAUACUAUUUUUUUUUAGACAGAGUCUCGAUCUGUCACCCAGGCUAUAGUGCAAUGGCACAAUCUUGGCUUACUGCAACCUCCAUCUCCCGGGUUCAAGCGAUUCUACCUCAGCCUCCCUAGUAGCUGGGAUUACAGGCGUUAGCCAGCACACCCAGCUAAUUUUUGUAUUUUUAGUAGAGACAGGUUUUCACCAUGGUCUCGAACUCCUGACCUCAGGCGAUCUGCCUGCCUUGGCCUCCCAAAAUGCUGGGAUUACAGGUGUGAGCCAUGGCACCCGGCCUAAUACUACUAUUAACUACCAUUUUCACUUUUUAUUAGUUCAACAAAAGGUAUACACAUUUAUUUAACAUGUAUACAUGGGGAGAACCAGUGAUUACCCCGAUGUUCAUUAUUUUGAUCACCACGAUAGAGCUGACUACUCUGCUAUGUAGUACAUUUUGGGACGGCACUUAUGUAUGUUUUUGUUUAACGUGGACAAAGACUUGUGGAUAGGUGCAAAAAAUAAAUCCUCUUUUGCAACCCAGAACUCAUUGUUCAGUAUGAGUUUUGAUACAUAUAAGAAGGGAUAUUAUGAUACCUGAGACAGUUGAUCGAUGGGAGUACUGAUAGCCAUAAAGGCUGGUUCCAGGCCAGGUGCAAUGGGUCAAGCCUGCAAUCUCCACACCGAGGUGGGAGUAUUGCUUGAAACGAGGAGUUCAAGACCAGCCUGGGCAAGAAAGUAAGAAACACCUCAUCUCCACAAAAAUUUAAAAAUUAGCUGGGUACUGGGGCAUGUGCCUGUAGUUGGAGUUACUCAGAAAGGGGAGGCUGAGGCAAAAGGAUUGAGCCCAAGAGUGGGAGGCUGCACUGAGCUUUGAUGGCACCACUGUACUCCAGCCUGAGUAACAGACAGACCCUGUCUCUUAAGAUAAAAAGGUUGAUUCUAGGCCUGUAGAAUAGAUAAACAGCAUGGGAUAUGAGGGAAAUCCUCAGCAGUAUUAAUUUUGCAUUCCAAUUUCAUGUUGACGAUAUAUACAAUGGCUUUUUGUUUUAAAGGCUUUUAUCUUGAGAACAUGGUGUCUGGAGUUAAAGGUAUGUCUCAAUUCGAGUUUUCACAUCAUAUUUGUUUAUGUGUAGGAAACAGUAUGUUGUCAGAGCAAGCAAGUUUCAUUUCAUUCAGAGACAUUUCUACCAUGCUUUUAAUUCCCAUUUAUAAUGAUUUCUGAAAAGAAGGAUCUUAGAUUCACACAGUUUAUAGUGAUGUGUCAGAUUCAUUUUAGUUGCAAGCAUUAGAGGGUCCCAAAUUUGUUAGUUUGUAGCAAUAAUCAGAACUUUGGAUUUCCUACUUGAAGCCUACGGCAUUAUUUUGAAUUAAUGCACAAUCUAAAAUGAGGUAGAGGAUUUUAUGGUUUAAUGCAAAAUAUAGUAUAAUAAAAGAAAUGAUUAUACAGGUCAUAAGAAUUCAUAAAUUUGAAUGAUGUAGAGUUUGAUUAAAAGUUAUAUAAUGCCAAAGUCAUAACUUACAGGCACAUUAUAUUCCUGUAUUUUAUAAUGGAUGACAACUAAUUUUGAGCCAAGAAUUAAAAUUUGCUGAAAUCUUUGAACUAGGAAAACAUCCUCUGUUGCAGUAUUGAAGUUCAUAACAACAGUUACAUUUUAAACUUAAAUCUUAAGUUUAAAUCCUUUUCCUUUGGUUCAUGUAAAGGAGCUACUUCAUGGUACUUUCUAUUUAUCAUUCCUCUGGCUCCUAAGCACAAUGUGAUUGUGAAAUUAUUGUUUUUGUGAUUAACGUGAUAGGAAGUUUUUGCAGUUUGCAAUAUUGUAAGAGCAUAUUGCAGUUUCUGCUCAUAAUUUCUUUCCUAUGGAGUAUUAGACUUUGUUAUUUAUGUGUAUGAAUACUAGCUGGACACAGUGGUGCUUGUGGUCCCCAGCUACUCUGGAGGCUAAGGCAGGAUAAACACUUAAGCCCAGCGGUUCGAGGCUACAGUGAGAUGUGAUCCUGCCGCAUCCCACUGUAGCCUCGAACCCCUGGGCUCAAGCGAUUCAGCAAGAAUCGCACAAUUUUUAAAAGACACGGCAGAUCCUGUGUCUUUAAAAAAAAAAUCAAAACCUUGUAAAUAGUGGUUGAGGUCUAUCCCGAUGGGGCUUUUCCUGUAGCCUGCACAUCGUUGGAAACGCCUCAUAGAGUAACUCUGUGGUUUUACUUUACUCACAGGACUAUUGUUAGAUCUGUGGGAAGGAACUACAAGACAGUUGCUAAAAGUUUGAAAAAGACGGUUACUAAACGUUAUGAAAAACCAGAUAAUCUACUUUUUUACCUUAGGUAUUGACAUACUCCACACAUCUGUACUAUUCUUGAGUGAUCGCUUAGGUAAGUUUUAAUUGGUGACAGUAUAAUCUUUUGGGAAAUAAUGAUUACAGUUCAGAUGAUGAAUUUAACUGUUCAACUGCUGAAUGAUGCGGGCAUGAACUAAAACUUAAUUCUGACAGAGCUGGAUGUGGCUGUAUAAUAAACUGGAUCUUAAAUUUAUACUUGGGUUUUAGUUUGAAUAACUGGAAAUGUAUCCGUUCUAAAUCUUUAAUUGGUACUUUCUAUAGGAAUGAAUGUGAUUUGAACUCAUUCAUGUUGAGAGGUAAGUAAAAUAUUUAACUUAUAAUAAUCAAGGACUCAAAAGAUGAAAAAUAGAAAUUAAGUACACCAUCCCAAUAUUUCAGGUAUAACACAAAAUUAAUAAGAUACUGGUAAAAAAUUACAAUAUAUAUAUUUGUAUAGAGAAGGAAAAUGAAGAGACUGCAUGUCUAUACCUACCAAACGAAACUACCUGUGUUCUUUGCAUCGUUAUUCAACUGGCAGUUACACAUACUUCAUCCUAAAGUCACGUAAACCUGUGUGGAUAUGUUGAAUCAAUAGGGAUAUGAAUUACAUAAAAAGAAUUUUGUGUAACUGGCAGUUUGAGCAACAAUGAGCUUGACGUUUGUAGUCGCUUGAUCUGUUAAGUUACAUGUAUAUGUAGGUUUUAUAGAGAGACUGGGCAAAGAUUAGGCAAAGACUAGAGUUGUAGCUUAAAAUGCAGUUAAUGUAUAGCUUCCUUAUUACAGUGACAAUUAGGAAAAAAGGUCAAAUUAUUGUACUUGUUAAAGGAACUUGAAUUUGAGAGGUUUGUGAAAGCAUUUCUCAGCAAUAUUGCAAAUUUGGCAAUACGAGUUGUACAGUUCAGUCAUAAUUGCACUGCAUGGUAUCUGCACUCAGCAGUUUACACCUGCUAGGGUGUUCAAAGGUCAGUGCUAUAGAAAUUCAGUAUCUGGCAUCGUUGGUUUUCUUGGCUUUGUGCUUGUUAAACCUGGUAUUUCUAUUGAUACAGUAUUUGUAUAGGUUUCCCAGAGUGUUCAGUUUGGUAUACUCUAAAAUAGUAAGCAAUGCUUUUCUUUUUCCAGGGUGUCAAAUUGAGAACCAGGCAGAUCCCCACCACCUACAGUAAAAAGGACCCUAAAGUAAAUUGGUUGAAGAAAUUAGAUCCCAAAGAUUCUUGGUGAAUUUUGAAGUCUUCAUCAGUAUACCCAUAUUAAAACGAGACCACAGAAGCCAAAGUAAUUAUGGCAAGUAAUGGUUUUUAUCUUAACCAUAAGUUAUUCGCUCAAGGGUGUAAAUGGUCAUUACCAAGGCUUUUAGAAUGCAGUUUCUCAUUUGCUGUGGACAUGACCAUAAAAAAAUUUCCCAGUAGGUUUUCUGUCUGCUACUUUGCUAGCAAUCAGCUUAUUGGGAACAGCUGAUUAACCGUAAUAGAAAUGCAAUACAAAUGCAUAAUGUGAACCACGUUAUUUUUCUUUAAAAUCAAUGAGAUUUGAAAAUUCUUCUAGAUCUCUUGAAUCAUGCAAAUGUGCUUUGCCUUUGUAUUAUAACCCUUGUGGAUUGCUAAUAACCAAGCAGUUUGUAGUAGAGUUAACUCAGGCUCGUUCUAGGACUCAGUCAGGUUCACUCACUGUACAGUCAUCUCUGGAAAUGUAAAAUUUACUUUUAUAUUGUUAUGUAGGGCUGACAGGACAACUGGAUCAGUUUCAUUAAAAAGGGCAAACUUGAAGAUAUAUCUUUUGACUCCAGCUCUUUAGAGGAUCUAAAGUGACCCUGAUGGACAGUGGAAGAAAUCACAACAUGGAAUUCCUUGAAUAAAAAUUUAUUGACUUUAAAUAAUUUUGUCUAAUGCUACAUAUGCACAAUUAAAAAAAAACCUUUACACU